GGAUAGCUGGGUGGCAACCCAAUAUCCAAGAUGUAUCUUUCUGUGUGUGUGCAUGCACCAUAGAAUGUAUAAUUCAGUUCUGGUCAGGAUGUUGGAGGCAUCCUUCCUUCCAGAAAAUGUGUAAGCCAGGAAUCUGUGGAUAUAUUUCAGGCUGGGGUUCCUAAGGUACAGGUCCUUGGACCUGGUGGGUGAGUAUGUAUCUGGGGGAUUAUCA
RNAcentral lists this long non-coding RNA (214 nucleotides) under Manihot esculenta (cassava). Its description in RNAcentral is "long non-coding RNA (MESC_LNC006772)". Lineage: Eukaryota; Viridiplantae; Streptophyta; Magnoliopsida; Malpighiales; Euphorbiaceae. The record is from RNAcentral.